Molecule: ribosomal RNA, 442 nt
Filed under: uncultured bacterium
Lineage: Bacteria
Description: bacterial SSU rRNA
Rfam family: Bacterial small subunit ribosomal RNA
Source: RNAcentral
AACGCGAAGAACCUUACCAGGUCUUGACAUCUGAGUGUAAGAUACAGAGAUGUAUCCCCUCUUCGGAGCACUCAAGACAGGUGGUGCAUGGUUGUCGUCAGCUCGUGUCGUGAGAUGUUGGGUUAAGUCCCGCAACGAGCGCAACCCUUGAACUUAGUUGCCAGCACGUUAUGGUGGGCACUCUAGGUUGACUGCCGGUGACAAACCGGAGGAAGGCGGGGAUGACGUCAAAUCAUCAUGCCCCUUAUGACCUGGGCUACACACGUACUACAAUGGCCGGUACAACGGGCUGCGAAACCGCGAGGUGGAGCCAAUCCCAUCAAAGCCGGUCUCAGUUCGGAUUGCAGGCUGCAACUCGCCUGCAUGAAGUCGGAAUUGCUAGUAAUCGCGGAUCAGCAUGCCGCGGUGAAUACGUUCCCGGGCCUUGUACACACCGAGUAUA